RNAcentral lists this ribosomal RNA (1060 nucleotides) under Escherichia coli. Its description in RNAcentral is "partial 23S ribosomal RNA". It matches the Rfam family "Bacterial large subunit ribosomal RNA", at positions 168 to 1264 of the family's 2925-position model. The record is from RNAcentral. Lineage: Bacteria; Pseudomonadati; Pseudomonadota; Gammaproteobacteria; Enterobacterales; Enterobacteriaceae.
AGGUUAAUGAGGCGAACCGGGGGAACUGAAACAUCUAAGUACCCCGAGGAAAAGAAAUCAACCGAGAUUCCCCCAGUAGCGGCGAGCGAACGGGGAGGAGCCCAGAGCCUGAAUCAGUGUGUGUGUUAGUGGAAGCGUCUGGAAAGGCGCGCGAUACAGGGUGACAGCCCCGUACACAAAAAUGCACAUACUGUGAGCUCGAUGAGUAGGGCGGGACACGUGGUAUCCUGUCUGAAUAUGGGGGGACCAUCCUCCAAGGCUAAAUACUCCUGACUGACCGAUAGUGAACCAGUACCGUGAGGGAAAGGCGAAAAGAACCCCGGCGAGGGGAGUGAAAAAGAACCUGAAACCGUGUACGUACAAGCAGUGGGAGCACAGAGCAAUCUGUGUGACUGCGUACCUUUUGUAUAAUGGGUCAGCGACUUAUAUUCUGUAGCAAGGUUAACCGAAUAGGGGAGCCGAAGGGAAACCGAGUCUUAACUGGGCGUUAAGUUGCAGGGUAUAGACCCGAAACCCGGUGAUCUAGCCAUGGGCAGGUUGAAGGUUGGGUAACACUAACUGGAGGACCGAACCGACUAAUGUUGAAAAAUUAGCGGAUGACUUGUGGCUGGGGGUGAAAGGCCAAUCAAACCGGGAGAUAGCUGGUUCUCCCCGAAAGCUAUUUAGGUAGCGCCUCGUGAAUUCAUCUCCGGGGGUAGAGCACUGUUUCGGCAAGGGGGUCAUCCCGACUUACCAACCCGAUGCAAACUGCGAAUACCGGAGAAUGUUAUCACGGGAGACACACGGCGGGUGCUAACGUCCGUCGUGAAGAGGGAAACAACCCAGACCGCCAGCUAAGGUCCCAAAGUCAUGGUUAAGUGGGAAACGAUGUGGGAAGGCCCAGACAGCCAGGAUGUUGGCUUAGAAGCAGCCAUCAUUUAAAGAAAGCGUAAUAGCUCACUGGUCGAGUCGGCCUGCGCGGAAGAUGUAACGGGGCUAAACCAUGCACCGAAGCUGCGGCAGCGACGCUUAUGCGUUGUUGGGUAGGGGAGCGUUCUGUAAGCCUGUGAAGGUGUACUGU